Molecule: ribosomal RNA, 469 nt
Filed under: uncultured bacterium
Lineage: Bacteria
Description: partial 16S ribosomal RNA
Rfam family: Bacterial small subunit ribosomal RNA
Source: RNAcentral
GACGAACGCUGGCGGCGUGCUUAACACAUGCAAGUCGAACGGAAAGGCCCUGCUUGCUGGGUGCUCGAGUGGCGAACGGGUGAGUAACACGUGGGUGAUCUGCCCCUUACUUUGGGAUACGCCUGGGAAACUGGGUCUAAUACUGGAUAGGACCAUGCUGUAGGUGGUGUGGUGGAAAGAUUAGUUUCGGUAAGGGAUGAGCUCGCGGCCUAUCAGCUUGUUGGUGGGGUAAUGGCCUACCAAGGCGUCGACGGGUAGCCGGCCUGAGAGGGUGGACGGCCACAUUGGGACUGAGCUACGGCCCAGACUCCUACGGGAGGCAGCAGUGGGGAAUAUUGCACAAUGGGGGCAAGCCUGAUGCAGCGACGCCGCGUGGGGGUUGACGGCCUUCGGGUUGUAAACUCCUUUCCGCCAUGACGAAGCCCUUGUGGUGACGGUAGUGGUAGAAGAAGCACCGGCUAACUACGUG